Molecule: ribosomal RNA, 574 nt
Filed under: Salmonella enterica subsp. enterica serovar Bovismorbificans
Lineage: Bacteria; Pseudomonadati; Pseudomonadota; Gammaproteobacteria; Enterobacterales; Enterobacteriaceae
Description: partial 23S ribosomal RNA
Rfam family: Bacterial large subunit ribosomal RNA
Source: RNAcentral
GGGCGUUAAGUUGCAGGGUAUAGACCCGAAACCCGGUGAUCUAGCCAUGGGCAGGUUGAAGGUUGGGUAACACUAACUGGAGGACCGAACCGACUAAUGUUGAAAAAUUAGCGGAUGACCUGUGGCUGGGGGUGAAAGGCCAAUCAAACCGGGAGAUAGCUGGUUCUCCCCGAAAGCUAUUUAGGUAGCGCCUCGUGAAUUCAUCUCCGGGGGUAGAGCACUGUUUCGGCUAGGGGGCCAUCCCGGCUUACCAACCCGAUGCAAACUGCGAAUACCGGAGAAUGUUAUCACGGGAGACACACGGCGGGUGCUAACGUCCGUCGUGAAGAGGGAAACAACCCAGACCGCCAGCUAAGGUCCCAAAGUCAUGGUUAAGUGGGAAACGAUGUGGGAAGGCCCAGACAGCCAGGAUGUUGGCUUAGAAGCAGCCAUCAUUUAAAGAAAGCGUAAUAGCUCACUGGUCGAGUCGGCCUGCGCGGAAGAUGUAACGGGGCUAAACCAUGCACCGAAGCUGCGGCAGCGACGUAUCACUUAAAGCGAUUCAGCGGAUGACGAUUGACGGAGCGAAGCGACG